This 332-nucleotide ribosomal RNA is filed under the name uncultured eukaryote. RNAcentral describes it as "partial 18S ribosomal RNA". It matches the Rfam family "Eukaryotic small subunit ribosomal RNA", at positions 1470 to 1796 of the family's 1831-position model. The record is from RNAcentral.
CCCUUAGAUGUCCUGGGCUGCACGCGCGCUACACUGGAAGUUACGGAUUGAGAUACUACCUUGUCCGAAAUGGUCCGGGUAAUCACCUAAAAGCUUGUCAUAAUUGGAAUGGAUUAUUGUAACUAGUAAUCCUGAACGAGGAAUUCCUAGUAAGUCCCAGUCAACAGCUGGUACUGAUUACGUCCCUGCCCUUUGUACACACCGCCCGUCGCUACUACUGAUUGGACGUUUAAGCAAGAUUUUUAAACACUGACAGUGUGUAGUUCAAGCCAUACUACAGUGAGAAGAAGAAGAUCGAGCUUACUUGUCUAGAGGAAGUAAAAGUCGUAACA